UCUGUUCAUUUUGUAGUUCUAAAUUUACGUAGCUGAGCAAGUUGUUUUUCUGUGCUUCUGUGUGGCUCGGUGGCGUGGAAGUGGCAUCCGCGGAUGGCAUCCACCAUCAAUCCUUCUUUGGUAUCGCGUGUAUGAAACCUGUGUGCGUUUUUAUGAUUGGAUUUCUGUGGUGCUGCGGGCCAUUUUCGUCCUGUGUCUACUGCAGGGGUCUCGAGUGCCGCAGUCCUGCAGUUUUUAGAUGAGCCACAGAUAACCACACACACAUACAAACACACGCACUCGCACCCAAGUACGGGCACCUCGGUGCUGUAUCCACCUCAUCAUCGGCUGUGACUUCAUCUCCCAUUUACCUGCUAUUCUAUCAAUAAACCUUCUAAUCUGCACCGAUGGAGUUGCCCUAUUCCUUCUGACCGAGGAAGAUUCAAUCGAUAAGUAAUCUGAAAUUAGCGCCUAUUAGACGCACACAGUCAUCUACAGUCCAUAUAAAGUACAACUGCAAUGCUUUGGUCUGAAUUCCUUGUUUUUGUAAUUCCAGAAGAAGUGGCGGCAUAGUUACCUUGAAAAAGUAACUUAGUUACUUUACUGAUUUUUUUAUUUAUUUAUUUGAAAAUAACGAAGUUAGAUUAUAAGCUACAUUAUUAGUUAUUUUCAGCAGUUGCCAACAACCACCUGGAUAGCUGAAAGUAACUUGUAAUAUGAAUUGCUAGUAAAAAAGGUUAAUAAAUAUUAAUUCAUAAUAGUUAGAAUAAGCUUAAAAACAAUGUAAAUACAGUAAAAAGUUGUUGAAAAGUUAUAAUUUUCAUGUAUUAAUGUUUGUCUCGUUUUGUUCAAGGAAAUUGCGAUCUGUGAAUCAGCAAUCGGCUAGUAAGCCUCUUCUGGCAUCGAUUGGUAAAGCCUCCAUCCUCCACUGAGGGAUUUUCGCGCCUUUUUUAUUUGCACUUCCUGUUCUUGCCAUGCUGAUCACAAAGAGACAGCGAGGGAUCCUGGAGAAUUAGGAGGGAAAUUUUAAAAUAAUCGCCACUGGAAAACAGAAUGAGACGUCAAACUGCGGAGAUGAAAGGUCCAGGAGUGAAACAUCCCCAGAUGUUCCUCCUCAACCAGUACUGGAGCGCCACCUGGGGGAUAAUGGGUUCCUGGGCCAGGAGGGAUGGAUGGUACUUGAAGUGGGAUCUUGGUCAGAUCCAGGGAUCUCUUCCCAAUGGGACUGGAAAACCUUAACAUCAAAGAUGGAUCCUGAUGAGAUUCCUGAACUACUUCAGUUUACCUUUCAGUUCAGUUCCUUCUUCAAUGCAACAGACUAAACCAGAAGCCCAGUUUAGCUCAGACAGAACCUCAUCUUACACUAAAUGGAUUCUCCAUGGGGUUAAAGGUCAUGGAAAUUUGCUGGCCAGUCAAGAACAGGAUCUCCAUGGACACUGAACCAGAUUUGGUACCUUUGGCGGUGUGGGUCGGUACCAAGUCCUGCUGGAAAAUAAAACCAGCAUCUUCAUCCAGUUUGUCAGCAGAGGGAAUCGUGAAGCGCUCUAGAAUUUUCUGCAUAAACUGGACUUCAGGAAACCCAGUGGACCAGAACCAGGAGACAACAUGGCACCUCAAGCUUCACUCUGUACUUCAACCAACAUGGACGCUGUGCUUCUCCGUUCUUCAGACCCUGAUACCCUGAUUACAAAAUGAAAUGCAGAGUUUUCUCUCCUGUGAAGAAAGGACUAUGGACCAAACCUCAACAGUUCAGCUCCUUUUCACCUUCGCCAGGUCAGUCGGAUUGAUGGGCGAGAUGAAACCCAUCAACCUGCUACCGCUUCUUCUGUUCUUCUCUGGACAAAUUCAAGGUCUCACUGAGAUGAUCCAAAAGUUUCUUCCAACUGGAAAAGAAUCAAAUAUUAGUUUCCCUGUAAAAAAGCUUCCUAGAGAUUCUACGGUUUUAUGGUUUGAUCAUUUAAAUAGGACCAUAGCAACACAUUAUUCGUAUGGAGAAACAAAAUUGGAGCAGCUUUUCGAUGGAAAAGUGAAGAUUGCUGGACCAACAACGCUGAAGUUUCUGAAUCCACAGACAUCAGACAGUGGAUUAUAUUUCGCAAAGGUGAUAGGAGAUAAACAUAAUAAUGCAGUGAUGUGCUUCAGCGUCACAUUUGCAGACCAAAAUACGGUUUCCACAGUUGCUGUUCCUGCUGUUUCUCCUGCUGCUAUUGCUGUUCCUGCUGCUAUUGCUGUUUCUCCUGCUGUUCUUGCCAUCAUUGCUGCUGUUGGGUUUGGUGCUGUUUAAAGAAGAAAUGUCAAGACCAGACAGAAGCCGUAGUCUUCUCUGCAAACUCUGGAACAAAUUCUCCAAUUGUCCAGAUCCUUCUACCACCUACCCAAGACAACGGAGAUCCUCACAACAUCGAGGAAAAUGCUGCAGAUUCACCUGUUUAAAGCUGCAGAGAAAACCACAGACUGUCACUCUGUGCUGCACUACAGUGCUCUCUCCACAACUUGUGAACAGCAGAAUUAGUUUUCCUGUAACUUCAGGUUACAGGUGGGGUGUUGUGGUGGCGCAGAGAAAACCUAAACUAUUGCUUCUUGUGUUGAGGAUUUAAAUUUGAACGUUUUCCUUUGAUGUAUGCAACGUGCUAGUUCGACGCUAUGAAGCUUACCCGAAACAACCUGCACUGUAGAUAACCGUCCUCCACAGCGAAUAGAUGAGAUCCGAUCUGAACGAGGCUGCUGUUAAUUUUAACGUUAAUUUAAUAUUUGGAAGUGUGGCCAACAUGGACUGAACGAUUUUGUUCACUUCCUCCUUUCCUAUUGCUAAAACUACAGACUACAAUUCUAAAACAGCGCAGAAAAUCGAUGUCUUCAUUCACAGCGUCUCCUAUUCGCUGAUUGGCCCUUAGGAAAACCAACUGGAGGGGUUUUUCACAAGCUGAAACUAUAAUCUCAAGAAAAUAUAAAUAAAAUUCAAACAUAAUUUCUAGUCAUUUUUUUUUUCAACUUUGGUAACCUGCUAAGGAAAGACAGAAGUUUAUGUAAAACUUGUCUUAAACCAGCUACAUUCAUGAGUUGGGUCUAAAACCAUUUAUGAUUUAAAUAUUGUCAGAAUGAAAUGUAAACAUUGUGCAAGUUUGAGUUUAGUAAUGUAAAUCUAAUCUCUAAAGAGACCACAGUUAUAUAAAAUAAAGACUGUUAAAUAAACAUUAAAAAGAAUAAUCAAAAACAAAAUGACAGACAUGAUCAGAAACAAGGAUCAAUAAGGUGUAAAGGAGACCGUGCUGGAAGCGAGAUUUUAUUUGAGCGGAGUUGGUCAGGAAGAAAUGGCCAGUCUAGGAGCGAACUAGAUGAAACGAAAUUUGAGGUUCGGGUUCAUUUGAUGGCGACAGUUUCGGACCAACCAGACAAUCACGACACGGCGCUCUACAGGUGAAGUGCAGCCUUUCUUAGCUCAACUGUUUUGGCUCCAUGCUUUUGCAGUGUUCCUGAAGUGCUCAGUCUUUAGUUUUGUGAAGCCAUGUCCAGCUCUGUCUUCUUCUUUUGAGUUUUGUUGGCGGUUGACAAACCAACAUUUAUCACCACUUACUGGACUAGACAAGCUCGGUCCCCCAAGCAUUCGGUAAAAAUAAAUAAAAACGGGUCUAAAUUUUGCCGUCUAGAAUUUUUUUUUUUUUUCUGUAGUUAUGGGAGCCCGUUUCUGCCACUCUGUUAAAAGAGAUAAAAUAAAUUAUCUCAUAAUAAUGAGAUAGUAUCUCAUUUUAAUGAGUAACUGGUUCAUUCCUUUAUCUUAUCUUUAAAUGAGUGCACUAUACACCAAGGCAAGUUUUUUAAGCACUUGUGAUUUAUUUGGGGGGAUGUCAAAAUAAUGGAUUGUUUUUUGUUUACAGAACACAAAAUAAAUACAUUCUGAAUAAAG
This is a long non-coding RNA of Xiphophorus maculatus (southern platyfish), 3883 nucleotides long. RefSeq lists it as uncharacterized. The transcript has 8 exons. NCBI's taxonomy places the organism in Eukaryota, Metazoa, Chordata, Actinopteri, Cyprinodontiformes, Poeciliidae. The record is from RefSeq and is a predicted model, not a curated record.